AUUGCCCUAGUAACGGCGAGUGAAGCGGCAACAGCUCAAAUUUGAAAUCUGGCGCAAGCCCGAGUUGUAAUUUGUAGAGGAUGCUUCUGGGUAGCGGCCGGUCUAAGUUCCUUGGAACAGGACGUCAUAGAGGGUGAGAAUCCCGUAUGUGACUGGCUUGCACCCUCCACGUAGCUCCUUCGACGAGUCGAGUUGUUUGGGAAUGCAGCUCUAAAUGGGAGGUAAAUUUCUUCUAAAGCUAAAUACCGGCCAGAGACCGAUAGCGCACAAGUAGAGUGAUCGAAAGAUGAAAAGCACUUUGGAAAGAGAGUUAAAAAGCACGUGAAAUUGUUGAAAGGGAAGCGCCCGCAACCAGACUUUGCGGCAGUGUUCGGCCGGUCUUCUGACCGGUUUACUCGCUGUCGUGAGGCCAUCAUCGUCUGGGACCGCUGGAUAAGACCUUAGGAAUGUGGCUCCCCUCGGGGAGUGUUAUAGCCUCUGGUGAUGCAGCGCGUCUCGGGCGAGGUCCGCGCUUCGGCAAGGAUGAUGGCGUAAUGGUUGUCGGCGGCCCGUCUUGAAACACGGACCAAGGAGUCUAACAUCUAUGCGAGUGUUCGGGUGUCAAACCCCUACGCGUAAUGAAAGUGAACGGAGGUGGGAACUUUUUGUGCACCAUCGACCGAUCCUGAUGUCCUCGGAUGGAUUUGAGUAAGAGCAUAGCUGUUGGGACCCGAAAGAUGGUGAACUAUGCCUGAAUAGGGUGAAGCCAGAGGAAACUCUGGUGGAGGCUCGCAGCGGUUCUGACGUGCAAAUCGAUCGUCAAAUUUGGGUAUAGGGGCGAAAGACUAAUCGAACCAUCUAGUAGCUGGUUCCUGCCGAA
This 859-nucleotide ribosomal RNA is filed under the name Pseudocercospora rhabdothamni. RNAcentral's name for it is "LSU rRNA". It matches the Rfam family "Eukaryotic large subunit ribosomal RNA", at positions 74 to 965 of the family's 3401-position model. Lineage: Eukaryota; Fungi; Ascomycota; Dothideomycetes; Mycosphaerellales; Mycosphaerellaceae. The record is from RNAcentral.